CCUACGGGAGGCAGCAGUGAGGAAUAUUGGUCAAUGGGCGUAAGCCUGAACCAGCCAAGUCGCGUGAGGGAUGAAGGUUCUAUGGAUCGUAAACCUCUUUUAUAAGGGAAUAAAGAGUGGGACGUGUCCUGUUUUGAGUGUACCUUAUGAAUAAGGAUCGGCUAACUCCGUGCCAGCAGCCGCGGUAAUACGGAGGAUCCGAGCGUUAUCCGGAUUUAUUGGGUUUAAAGGGUGCGUAGGCGGCCUUUAAGUCAGCGGUGAAAGUCUGUGGCUCAACCAUAGAAUUGCCGUUGAAACUGGGAGGCUUGAGUAUGUUUGAGGCAGGCGGAAUGCGUGGUGUAGCGGUGAAAUGCUUAGAUAUCACGCAGAACCCCGAGUGCGAAGGCAGCCUACCAAGCCAUGACUGACGCUGAUGCACGAAAGCGUGGGGAUCAAACAGGAUUAGAUACCCCUGUAGUC
Molecule: ribosomal RNA, 459 nt
Filed under: uncultured bacterium
Lineage: Bacteria
Description: partial 16S ribosomal RNA
Rfam family: Bacterial small subunit ribosomal RNA
Source: RNAcentral